GACGAACGCUGGCGGCGUGCCUAAUACAUGCAAGUAGAACGCUGAAGAGAGGAGCUUGCUCUUCUUGGAUGAGUUGCGAACGGGUGAGUAACGCGUAGGUAACCUGCCUUGUAGCGGGGGAUAACUAUUGGAAACGAUAGCUAAUACCGCAUAACAAUGGAUGACACAUGUCAUUUAUUUGAAAGGGGCAAUUGCUCCACUACAAGAUGGACCUGCGUUGUAUUAGCUAGUAGGUGAGGUAAUGGCUCACCUAGGCGACGAUACAUAGCCGACCUGAGAGGGUGAUCGGCCACACUGGGACUGAGACACGGCCCAGACUCCUACGGGAGGCAGCAGUAGGGAAUCUUCGGCAAUGGGGGCAACCCUGACCGAGCAACGCCGCGUGAGUGAAGAGGUUUUCGGAUCGUAAAGCUCUGUUUUGUAGUCAGAACGGGUGUGAGAGUGGAAAGUUCACACUGUGACCGUAGCUUACCAGAAAGGACGGCUAACUACGUGCCAGCAGCCGCGGUAAUACGUANGUCCCGAAGCGUUGUCCGGAUUAAUUGGGCGUAAAGCAAGCCCAAGCGGUUUGAUAGUCUGAAGUUAAGGCUGUGGCUCAACCAUAGUUCGCUUUGGAAACUGUCAAACUUGAGUGCAGAAGGGGAGAGUGGAAUUCCAUGUGUAGCGGUGGAAUGCGUAGAUAUAUGGAGGAACACCGGUGGCGAAAGCGGCUCUCUGGUCUGUAACUGACGCUGAGGCUCGAAAGCGUGGGGAGCGAACAGGAUUAGAUACCCUGGUAGUCCACGCCGUAAACGAUGAGUGCUAGGUGUUGGAUCCUUUCCGGGAUUCAGUGCCGCAGCUAACGCAUUAAGCACUCCGCCUGGGGAGUACGACCGCAAGGUUGAAACUCAAAGGAAUUGACGGGGGCCCGCACAAGCGGUGGAGCAUGUGGUUUAAUUCGAAGCAACGCGAAGAACCUUACCAGGUCUUGACAUCCCGAUGCUAUUUCUAGAGAUAGAAAGUUACUUCGGCACAUCGGUGACAGGUGGUGCAUGGUUGUCGUCAGCUCGUGUCGUGAGAUGUUGGGUUAAGUCCCGCAACGAGCGCAACCCCUAUUGUUAGUUGCCAUCAUUCAGUUGGGCACUCUAGCGAGACUGCCGGUAAUAAACCGGAGGAAGGUGGGGAUGACGUCAAAUCAUCAUGCCCCUUAUGACCUGGGCUACACACGUGCUACAAUGGUUGGUACAACGAGUUGCGAGUCGGUGACGGCGAGCUAAUCUCUUAAAGCCAAUCUCAGUUCGGAUUGUAGGCUGCAACUCGCCUACAUGAAGUCGGAAUCGCUAGUAAUCGCGGAUCAGCACGCCGCGGUGAAUACGUUCCCGGGCCU
RNAcentral lists this ribosomal RNA (1366 nucleotides) under uncultured bacterium. Its description in RNAcentral is "bacterial SSU rRNA". It matches the Rfam family "Bacterial small subunit ribosomal RNA", at positions 28 to 1381 of the family's 1533-position model. The record is from RNAcentral.